GAUGAAGAACGCAGUGAAAUGCGAUACUUGGUGUGAAUUGCAGAAUCCCGCGAAUCAUCGAGUUUUUGAACGCAAGUUGCGCCCGAAGCCAUUCGGCCGAGGGCACGUCUGCCUGGGUGUCACGCAUCGUUGCCCCCCCAAACUCCGGUUCGGGCGGGGCGGAAGUUGGCCUCCCGUGCGUGCCUGCGCGCGCGGUUAGCCCAAAAGCGAGUCCUCGGCGACGAGCGCCACGACAAUCGGUGGUUUUUUUACCCUCGUUCCUCGUCGUGCGUGUCCCGUCGCCCGAACGCGCUCUUGUGACCCUCACGCGUCGCCUCGGCGGCGCUCCCAACGCGACCCCAGGUCAGGCGGGACUACCCGCUGAGUUUAAGCAUAUCAAUAAGCGGAGGA
RNAcentral lists this unclassified non-coding RNA (390 nucleotides) under soil metagenome. RNAcentral's name for it is "partial contains 5.8S ribosomal RNA, internal transcribed spacer 2, and large subunit ribosomal RNA". The stretch from base 1 to 122 matches the Rfam family "5.8S ribosomal RNA", at positions 35 to 154 of the family's 154-position model. The record is from RNAcentral.